UAUAGGGUCCCCCAUGGGCUGACCCCAUGUAAAGCCCCUACAUGACCCUAUGGGAGUCCCCCUAUGGGGUCCCUAUGGUGUCCCUAUGGGGUCCUGGCGCCACCCUAUGGGGUCCCUAUGGGGUCCCGGUGUCACCCUAUGGGGUCCCUAUUUAGGGUCCUUAUAUGGGGUCCCUGUGGGGCUGCUAUGGGGUCGCUAUAGGGUCCCCCAUGUGCUGACCCCAUGUAAAGCCCCUACAUGACCCUAUGGGAGUCCCCCUAUGGGGUCCCUACGGGGUCCCUAUGGGGUCCUGGCGUCACCCUAUAGGUGUCUCUAUGGGGUCCCUAUGGGGUCCCAGUGUCCCCCUAUGGGGUCUUUACGGGGUCCCGCUGUCACCCUAUGGGUGUUCCCCUAUGGGGUCCCUAUGGGGUCCCUAUGGGGUGCCGCCGUCCCCCUUUGGGUCUCUAUGGGGUCCCUGCGUCACCCUGUGACACCACAGAACCCUAUAGGACCCCACAGGACCCACAGAACCCCAUAGAACCCUAUAGGACCCCACAGGACCCACAGAACCCUAUAGAACCCACAGAACCCCAUAAAAC
This 578-nucleotide long non-coding RNA is filed under the name Gallus gallus (chicken). Its description in RNAcentral is "lncRNA (ENSGALG00010000754.1)". Lineage: Eukaryota; Metazoa; Chordata; Aves; Galliformes; Phasianidae. The record is from RNAcentral.